GAUGAACGCUGGCGGCGUGCCUAACACAUGCAAGUCGAGCGAUUCUCUUCGGAGAAGAGCGGCGGACGGGUGAGUAACGCGUGGGUAACCUGCCCUAUACACAUGGAUAACAUACCGAAAGGUAUGCUAAUACAGGAUAACAUGUUUUGAUCGCAUGGUCGAAAUAUCAAAGCUCCGGCGGUAUAGGAUGGACCCGCGUCUGAUUAGCUAGUUGGUAAGGUAAUGGCUUACCAAGGCGACGAUCAGUAGCCGACCUGAGAGGGUGAUCGGCCACAUUGGAACUGAGACACGGUCCAAACUCCUACGGGAGGCAGCAGUGGGGAAUAUUGCACAAUGGGCGAAAGCCUGAUGCAGCAACGCCGCGUGAGCGAUGAAGGCCUUCGGGUCGUAAAGCUCUGUCCUCAAGGAAGAUAAUGACGGUACUUGAGGAGGAAGCCCCGGCUAACUACGUGCCAGCCGCCGCCGUAACAC
Molecule: ribosomal RNA, 471 nt
Filed under: uncultured bacterium
Lineage: Bacteria
Description: bacterial SSU rRNA
Rfam family: Bacterial small subunit ribosomal RNA
Source: RNAcentral